GUAGUCCACGCCGUAAACGAUGCUAACUCGUUUUUGGGCCGCAAGGUUCAGAGACCAAGCGAAAGUGAUAAGUUAGCCACCUGGGGAGUACGUCCGCAAGGAUGAAACUCAAAGGAAUUGACGGGGGCCCGCACAAGCGGUGGAUUAUGUGGUUUAAUUCGAUGAUACGCGAGGAACCUUACCAAGACUUAAAUGGGGAUUGACAGGUUUGGAAACAGACCCUCCUUCGGGCAAUCUUCAAGGUGCUGCAUGGUUGUCGUCAGCUCGUGCCGUGAGGUGUUAGGUUAAGUCCUGCAACGAGCGCAACCCCUGCCAACAGUUGCCAUCAUUCAGUUGGGGACUCUGUUGGGACUGCCUACGCAAGUAGAGA
This 370-nucleotide ribosomal RNA is filed under the name uncultured bacterium. RNAcentral describes it as "bacterial SSU rRNA". It matches the Rfam family "Bacterial small subunit ribosomal RNA", at positions 790 to 1167 of the family's 1533-position model. The record is from RNAcentral.